This is a non-coding RNA of Poronia punctata, 138 nucleotides long. The record is from the annotation of a GenBank genome assembly. Lineage: Eukaryota; Fungi; Ascomycota; Sordariomycetes; Xylariales; Xylariaceae.
GGCAAGGUGGCCGAGCGGUUAUGGCGGUAGACUCAAGUUACAUUGAUAACUUUCCCCAUGAACUUGUAAAAGAAAAACAUGGGGAAUUGUGGAUUUCUACUCUCGAAAGAGGCAUGGGUUCGAAUCCCAUUCUUGUCA